RNAcentral lists this ribosomal RNA (281 nucleotides) under Pseudo-nitzschia fraudulenta. Its description in RNAcentral is "partial 28S ribosomal RNA". It matches the Rfam family "Eukaryotic large subunit ribosomal RNA", at positions 186 to 475 of the family's 3401-position model. Lineage: Eukaryota; Bacillariophyta; Bacillariophyceae; Bacillariales; Bacillariaceae. The record is from RNAcentral.
UUCCUUGGAAAAGGACAGCUGAGAGGGUGAAACUCCCGUCCGCCUGGUAGAAUGAGUCUUUGUCAACGAGUCGAGUUGUUUGGGAUUGCAGCUCUAAUUUGGUGGUAAAUUCCAUCUAAAGCUAAAUAUUGGUGGGAGACCGAUAGCGUACAAGUACCGUGAGGGAAAGAUGCAAAGAACUUUGAAAAGAGAGUUAAAGAGUACCUGAAAUUGCUGAAACGGAAGCGAAGGAAACCAGUGUUUGUUGGUUCAUAUUUCCCUGGCCACUUGUGGUUUGGGCG